UACGUAGGCAGCGAGCGUUGUUCGGAGUUACUGGGCGUAAAGAGUGCGUAGGCGGUUUUCCAAGUUUGGUGUGAAAUCUCCCGGCUUAACCGGGAGGGUGCGCCGAAAACUGGAAGGCUAGAGUGUGGGAGAGGUAAGCGGAAUUCCUGGUGUAGCGGUGAAAUGCGUAGAUAUCAGGAGGAACACCGGCGGUGUAGACGGCUUACUGGACCAUAACUGACGCUGAGGCACGAAAGCGUGGGUAGCAAACAGG
Molecule: ribosomal RNA, 253 nt
Filed under: uncultured bacterium
Lineage: Bacteria
Description: partial 16S ribosomal RNA
Rfam family: Bacterial small subunit ribosomal RNA
Source: RNAcentral